GCUCCCGUGGCCUAAUGGCUAAGGCGUCUGACUUCUAUGUGUGGUCUUUCCAACGGUCCGAUUGGAGGAGACCAUGCCGGUUGCUCAUCAGAAGAUUGCCAGUUCGAUCCUGGCCGGGAGCU
Transfer RNA from Fusarium verticillioides 7600, 122 nucleotides. It matches the Rfam family "tRNA". Rfam says of the family: Transfer RNA (tRNA) molecules are approximately 80 nucleotides in length. Their secondary structure includes four short double-helical elements and three loops (D, anti-codon, and T loops). The record is from Rfam. Lineage: Eukaryota; Fungi; Ascomycota; Sordariomycetes; Hypocreales; Nectriaceae.